Molecule: RNA transcript, 12979 nt
Organism: Gorilla gorilla gorilla (western lowland gorilla)
Lineage: Eukaryota; Metazoa; Chordata; Mammalia; Primates; Hominidae
Gene: RBPMS
Gene name: RNA binding protein, mRNA processing factor
Exons: 9
Source: RefSeq, a predicted model, not a curated record
GCUAGCGCGCCCUCGUCCAGCCCCGCGCCCCAGCCCUGCCCGGCCCGGCGAGGAAGGACCGGGAAGAUGAACAACGGCGGCAAAGCCGAGAAGGAGAACACCCCGAGCGAGGCCAACCUUCAGGAGGAGGAGGUCCGGACCCUAUUUGUCAGUGGCCUUCCUCUGGAUAUCAAACCUCGGGAGCUCUAUCUGCUUUUCAGACCAUUUAAGGGCUAUGAGGGUUCUCUUAUAAAGCUCACAUCUAAACAGCCUGUAGGUUUUGUCAGUUUUGACAGUCGCUCAGAAGCAGAAGCUGCAAAGAAUGCUUUGAAUGGCAUCCGCUUCGAUCCUGAAAUUCCGCAAACACUACGACUAGAGUUUGCUAAGGCAAACACGAAGAUGGCCAAGAACAAACUCGUAGGGACUCCAAACCCCAGUACUCCUCUGCCCAACACUGUACCUCAGUUCAUUGCCAGAGAGCCAUAUGAGCUCACAGUGCCUGCACUUUACCCCAGUAGCCCUGAAGUGUGGGCCCCGUACCCUCUGUACCCAGCGGAGUUAGCGCCUGCUCUACCUCCUCCUGCUUUCACCUAUCCCGCUUCACUGCAUGCCCAGGUAAUUGAUACCCAUCGGCCAGGACUUCACUCACUUCACCACCAGUCCUUUCAAACUUGGUUCCCGAGAGCACACCAUACAACUAACACCUAUCCAGCUAACAGAUCCACCUUCAAGAGAUUAAUGAUCCCCUCUAAAUCAAGCUGACACUCCUUCAGGACUUACGAGGAUCGUCUGACAGCAAUGAUAUCACCCACUGCCUGAUGUUUGCCCCAAAUGACACCUCUCUCUUCCUUAAUGAUCUCACCUCAUAUCGCACAUGAGAGACCGGGGCAGGUUUAUCCACCUGGCUCCCAGCUAGCUAGAGGGCAUCACCAGAGUGUAUACGUGUGUGCCUUGUGUGGAAGGGCUGCAGAGGAAGGUGUGUGCUAGGAGAAGGGGAUAUGUGCGUCUGUGCGUGUUUCUGUGUGUUGAGAGUUUUCCACUCUCGUGUACGGUGAGAAGAAUCUCUGACCAAAGGGAAAGCUUCCAGGGGGGAAGGCUGUACUUUCUUAAAUAUGUUACAGGAAAGAUUAAGGGUUCCUUCUCUCCAUUUUCAGGAAACCCUGUAGAAAAGGAGAUACAAGAUAGUGUCUAAGAUGGAAUUACAGGUCAAGGUAGAGAUCUCUAUUCUGACCAGCUUUCUUUCUUAGUUAAAAAUAGCCUGAUUUUUAUAAACAAACUUCCUGUUUCUCCGCAAAGAUUACUGUCUACAUACUAACACUUCCUCUCCCCUUGGAGAAAAUAUUUCUCUUAGCUUCGCUUUUAGUGCAAGUGGUAGUAAUCAGUGUAAAGAUUCACCUUUGGAGAUCACCACUCAUUCUUUGGCCUGCAAAGAUUGAUGACCAGUAACAAAUAGAAAGUACGUACGUAGGUUUCAUUUGUCUUUCUGCAUGUGUAAUUCAGCCUUUACAUUUUAAAUUUUUAAAAAUUAUUAGGCUGGACAGGCAGAGUUUUCGUUUGCCUGUUUUGCUCAGUGUUUGUUUACAAGGCUGGGUGAAAUAAACAGCUUCCCAGAAAACCUCCUUCUGACUUAAAACUCUUUUAUGUUGUACAGAAUUCCCUGUCUUGAUAAAGACCACCUAGAAGCAGCCCCCAGCGAGGGUUCUUGAAAGUCAUGGGGUCGAGAUUGUUGUUGGCUGAACAUCUUUUAAUUCUGAGUUACCAACACGUUGUGCGUGCAUUGAUGACCCGGCUUCCUGGCCUGCCCUUGGUGCCUGAGCCCCAGUAAUGAUUGCCCUCUAUGUUGGGAGAAGAAGGGAGAAAGUAGUACAAGUAGUGAAGAAAAAAAUGUAGGUGGUGGUGGUGGUUGAGAGUACAUGGCACAGAAAAUAAAGGAGCCAGGAUUACCUGUGCCUUUGGCUUCUCCUUCCCCUGCUGCUUUUUCUUCCUUUUUCCAUGUCAGUGCUUGGGAACCCUCACAACUGGCAGGUAACGGGGUCGGGAUAAAAUGUAAACCUAUGAGUGUCUUCUGCUGAGUCAUUAGGAUCUUUGUAGCAGGCUGCGGAUAAAUAUGUGGAUGACAUGGGGCAACUAAGAGCCCCUUUUGCUUGCCACCUCCCACCCCUGCUCUGGAUGGUGUCUCCUCUUGCUAGACUGCCGGGUACAGAUCAUGUGGCAAUUAAGGCAAAUGUUAAUAAAUACCAUGAAACAGUGGUUUGCAUAGUCUUCUGAAUAGCCAUGGCUUUGGUUAGUCAGCAACAAAGCCUUUCACCCUUACCCUGGAUAAUCAAGAGUUGACAACAGCCAGAAAGUACUGGGAAUAGUGGCUUUUGGCCAUGACAUCUGCUCAUUCUUCAUGCAUGUAAUGGGUCAAAUCAGAAGUAAUUCUGGAGAUACGGUAUGGUAAGAGAAGGGCCUAAAGAGUCUCAAGAGAUUAGAAAGCAUAUGCCAUUGUAAGGAAGGAUGGGGAGAGACAGUGCCAAGAUUAGAUGGACUCAGCCAUUUGACUUAAUGGGAUGCAUUGCCCAUGGUGGCAACCUCCCCUGGGAGUUCUUCCUUGAUCUUGAGACUUUCCCAAACUGGAAUCCACUUAGCUCUGCCACAUCGGUCCCAGAUUUGGUGGGACUCUCCUCUGGUAUCAGUUUUCAACGCCACUUCUUGUUUGGAGUCAUUCCCAGUGCAGUCAUGGACUCUAUGAACAAAUACGGUUAUUUAAAUGUAUUUGUCCAGUAUGAGAAUCAGAAUGAACUAGUAGAGGCUUUACAGAUCAGCUGGUCUGACCCAUUUUACAGAUGAGGAAACAGGCCUGAGAAGAUGGAGGGAGUUACCCGCAAUCUGAAGGGGCUCUACCAUGACUAGACCCAGGUCACCUGCCUCCCAGGCCUGGCUCUUUCCACUCCGAGGUGCUGGCUCACCACAGACUUAUUCUUUAAUGGAAUUUUGGAAAGGCCUCACUCCAGUGACUCCUUGGAUCUUUCUUCUCUAAGUAGAUGGGAAGCCUGUAAGAAGAGACUUGGAGGCAAAGCAAAGGGAAUCAGCACUUAACCCUCACCCAAAGGGCCCAAGAGAAUCUUUAGUAACUGGAGGCAGAGCAGACUGGAGCCUCUACGGGGCAUCUCCCCAUAUUGGAGAAUUCAGUCUUUGUUUUGGAAAUCUUAUAAUGUCUUUGGAGAGGCUUUAAAUAAUUUUGUUUUUCUUAGCAAUGUUAUGCUCUAUUUUGAGACAUGGAUUUUUUUUUUCUUCUAGUGUUUCUCUCCUGAGGCAAAGCCCAACACACCUGUCUUUUGUCCACUUCUCCAGCAAAUUAGAUUUGUCUCUGGGAAUGUGUUUGUAACAUACCAACCUACUGCAGACCAGCAGAGGGAGCUCCCAUGUUGAAUUUGUUUGUUAGCUAUUUUCCCCCCUUUCACAAAAACUAUUUCUUGACGACCUUUGAGAGAUUUCAAUAAAAAUUUUAAUCAGAGCAAAAAUGAACUCAAGUAGACUGCAGCGUUUUGUUUUCAUGGUGAUGCAAUUUUGGAGCAAAGGUGUUACUCUCUGACUGAGGUUUUGGGAGAAUUGGGCCUGUGACACCAAGUCUAUUUUACAUAGAAGGACUCAGAACGAGCUUCCUGGAGAGGCCAGGUCCUGGAGCCGAGGCCACACUGCUGCUGCUUGUCUCUCCCUGGGCUCCCGGAAGAGCCACCAAGAGCUGCAUGUUGGAAGCGUCUCAUCCACCAGGAGACCUCACUUCAGCAGGGAUGCUGCGUCUAGCUAGGGGAGCCCCUGUGAAACAUGUGGGUGCAGUGUGCAGUCUGCCCACCGGGAUCCACAGGAAGGAAGACCAGGAGACAAAGUGUCAUUGAAAAGAAGUUGAGUCACAUUUCUAGCUCUGCCCCGGCUUCAGCUGUGGUCUGGUACCCCUUCAGAUUUCCCAGCUCUAAAGUAAGGAUACUUAUUUGCCAUCAGAUCCCAUGUUUUAGAAAUUAUUGGAUAAGGUAAUAGGACUGAAAGCCUCAGUACUGACUUAAUGUUUAGAGAUCAAAGAGCGACCCUGUGCAGCAGACAUCGGAUUUCUAAGAAGAUCAUUAACAUUUUUAAAAGUGAUCACCCAGUUUACUUUCAAGAUCAUUGGUAUUUGAAAUGUGUUAAUUAGGAGAGGAAACUUUCAUCUGUUGCUUUCAAAAAGCUUAUGCACUGAAGAGAGCACACAGCUGUUCUGUCACCUCACAUUCACACACUUCCGCCUCUUAGGUUUGAGCUCAUGUUCUGCUUUCAGUCUUGUUGUGAUGGGCAGAGAGAAAGUCGUUAAAGUAUACUGUCCUUACCACAUUCUCGAAACACAACACCAUACACCCUGUACUUCAGGCAGAGUCACAGUGUGGGGCCAGAAGCUUCUGUAGGUAAGUAGGACUGAGAGAGAAAGUCCUGGUUACCUGAUUCCUUUUCAGAGGCCUCAUUUGUCCAGAGUAACAGCAGUUCUAUCGGAUUUCUAAUAGGGCUGCUGUACAGCUUACCUGGACAUAAACCAAAGGUUUUAAAAUUAUAACACAGACUGCCUGAGGACAAGGCAUGCGUGUCCCUUGGGAUGGCUCUGUGACACACUGGAAAAAUUUUAAAGGUUAAACCCAAAAUAAAUACAGAAGUGGACCAUGGGAAGAGAGACAUAGGCUAACCAGGAAGGGAGCUCACAGAGGAGUAGAUGGGCCUGGGAAUAGUGGGUGGACUACCUGAAUUGCAGGGCUGUCCCCACCACCCCUGUAUCUGAGCAGUUGCUCAUCAGCAGGGUGGGACUUCCAAAAACUAGAUUUUAAAAAAAGCAAAUCGUAUUAAGCAUCUGCAUCACUAUGCCCUGUAGGAAAUAACUGAGGCAAAAGACACAAGGACUUCUGCUUUGGUGUCGGGUAUGUUUUGAAUACAUAGAGUGUUGGGGGGUGUCUCGAGGGCAGUGCUGCGUAUGGACCUCAGUGCGCACACAGCUCCUUAGGAGUCGCCCAGCAGCGAGACAGCUGUGGAUCCCCUCCAGGCGCAUGGGAGGCUCACAAGGCAAGGACUCUGAUGGUUUUGGCUUCCACCUCCUGUACAGUGGCCAGUGCUGUGAGGGUGGUUGGUCCCACAGGGAAACCUGUGAACAGAGUCAUGUCUGGGGCCCCAGGGACAUGGCUUCAACCCCUCACCUGGCAGUCCUGCCUCCCAAAAGUAAGGCAGGAGUCCGGAGAUUCCCAGUGCUUGCUUCUGUGAAUCUCAGGUCACUUUAGCACUUGACCCCUGACCCCAGACUGCCUUGUCCUUGAGGCCUGGGAUUCCUAAGGUAUAUACUGUCUGCUCCAGAGCUGUGGCUGUGGCUAUCCGGAAAACCACAGCUUUGAAGGACUGCAGAGCUUGCCUUUGGGGCUGUUCUGCCCAAGGCCUUCCAUUGUUUUCAGACAUAAAUGAAAUUGUUAAUCCUCUGACAUUUACCUUUUCCUCUCAACCUGCAGCUCUGUGAAGGUCAGACUGUGAGGAGAAGCCACCCCUUGAGCGCUCCAUCUCCUGAUAGUGCCAGCCUGGCCUGGUUUCCUGUUUGGUGAGGCUUUCUAGGAGCACCUGGCUUAGCUCUCACAGGAGGAGGGGCGGACGGGGAGGCCAGGCCUCAUGCUCACAGCGCCAGCCUCCUGUGAGAGUGGGCUGGGUCUCCUUUCCUUUCCCAGGCCCUUCCUGGGGGCGAUUUCUUUCUUUCUUUCUUUCUUUUUUUUUUUUUUUUUUUUUUUGAGGCAGAGUCUCGCUCUGUCGCCCAGGCUGGAGUGCAGUGCUGUGAUCUCGGCUCACUGCAAGCUCCGCCUCCCGGGUUCACGCCAUUCUCCUGCCUCAGCCUCCCAAGUAGCUGGGACUACAGGCGCCUGCCACCACGCCUGGCUCAUUUUUUGUAUUUUUAGUAGAGACGGGGUUUCACUGUGUUAGCCAGGAUGGUCUCGAUCUCAUGACCUUGUGAUCUGCCCGCCUCGGCCUCCCAAAGUGCUGGGAUUACAAGCGUGAGCCACCGAGCCCGGCCAGCCUGGGGGCAAUUUCUAUGCCUGCCUCCUGAUGCAGGGCCUGUGCUCUGAGCUGCGCCUUUCAGCAGAGCUCUGCGGGGCUUCAUUUCCUUUCUAAGCUCAUGGCAAGAAUGUAGGGUGGAAAGGACAGGCUCUGGAACUCCCUGGCCAGACAGGAGCUCUGCCAUUUACACGCUGUGCGACCUCAAUUGAGCAAGUUUCUUAACCUCUCUGGGCUUCAGGAAAAGGGCCAAUAAUCUUUCACAUAAACACUUAAGAGAAUGCCCGGCAUAUUAGAAGGGCUUCAUGUUUGCUUUAAAGGUAGCCCUUCCCAAGGAUCUUUUAAGGGGCACUUGAAUUUUCAAUAAGGAGAAGGAAGCCCAGGACUAAGCCUAAGCUACCCACAAGGCCGUGACAGUUAAGACACAGGAUGGCCAGCACAUGUGGAUGACACUAACGGGGGCUGCUAGAGACCUCACGGCUGGAGCCAAAUGGAAGACUGGCAAGCAUGAAUGAAUGACGGGAGUAAGAUGAGGCAUUGCAGUGACAGCACCACCCACAGCACCGAUUGACAGCACCUGCCCUGCUCCUGGCAGUGUGAUCUUCACAGCUUAUGCCAGCACUGGGAGAGCUUAUCCAAAAGAGGGCCUCCCCAAACCAGGCUGGACACGGCCACCGGAACACCCUUCUGACAGGAAAUACAUCCGGGGUGGAGGGGGCUGGGCAGCUGAAAUCCCAGAGACGGAAUGGCCCUUGCCCUCACGAGUUACUUUACACAAACCCACUGUCCCUGACCUUUCCAGCUGCAGCCAUAUCUCACUUUCCUAUCGGAGAAACUGGAGAAAGAAUCACAGGUCACCCAGCCCAUUCCUCCCUGGACUUUCUGGCACUUUCUUCCCACAGUCCUUCUGCUAGGAUUCUCCUCAGCCUCAUUUCCAGGCAAUGGAGUUACAUCUUGUACUUGGGGAUAUUGUUCUCUUCACAGUUCUGCCGUGAAACCCAAGAAUCUGCCCCCGGCCAGGCAGAUGCUCUCUCCCUGGUGACCCUCUCCACCUCUUCCGUCAUUUGCAGUGAGAGAGACAUCAGCAUUUUGUCCUUCACCCUCUUUAGAAGCAGUCCUCCAAAACCAUCCGUCCAGGGUGUUAGGGAGACAUGUUCUUUUGUCCAGAACUGCUGCUGCUACUGAGGCCCAGGCCUCUCCAUGUUGGGCAGUUUUAGGAGGAAAUGCUGUUCAGAAACCAGAGGCAGUCCCCUAGUGUAUGGCUGUGUGGCUUUGGCCAGGGUCACUCACGCCAAGGAGACUUCCGUAGAAAUCACAGUAUUAUUCAGGAUUGCCAGAACAUCUCAACGUGGGCCUCCUCCUGACUGGGGGCAGCAUUACUCUCCAUUACUCCAUUACUCUCCAUUUGGUACACUGUUUUCCAGGUUUCUAAGUGUGUUCCAUGUUGUCCUUUGCGGAAGGUUAAACUCCCCAGAUCCUACGCGCCUUCUCCCCUGUCCUUAAUAGUAGUAAGAGCCCAACCCUGAGUCCCAACAAGUCGCACCUGGAAGUGCCGUCUGCGCUCGGCUCUUCCCUGGGAUUAACAACCGCGUGGCCCAACUGUCACAGUCGGGUGCUGCUGAGCGCCUGGCACCUAACUGGGACUCAGUUUUUUAAAUCAAACAAACCUGAUUUUAAUGACAGUUUCUACUCACUCUGCUAAAUUUGGGAUCCUAGGCAAGUUGGUUUUUAACUGCACGGAGCCUCAGUUUCCUCAUCUAUAAAUGGGAAGAAUGAACAUCUCCAUGGGUUUAUUUUGCAGAAAACAGUAAGAUGUUCAGCUUAAAGUCAUAGUUAUGAUUAAAAUAGUUCUUCCAAUGCCUUCCCUUUGUCAGGAUUCGAUCUGGUGUGGCCCAGAGGCUCCUGAGCCCUCCCUGUAAGCUUGAGAAGCACUUAGAACACAGGGACUCCUGACCAGCACCCUGAUAAGAGAAACCUAAGGGCCUGGGCUUUUUGCUUUGGUAAAGAAGAGAAACACCAGAGCCGGGGUGAGAAUGGUCCGUGGCUGUGGCGGAUACCGAGAGGAGGCUGUCUGGUUGGGUCAGCUGGGUGUGCACCCAAGGUUUUUUUCUUCUGUAGGCAUAGGCACCCAGAUGCCGUCCGGAAAGUAUGUGAACUCUAACUGCUUUGGAAACAAAACCAAGGCCACAGAGAAACUUUGGAAUUAUAAAAUGUAGCCUUCAUAAAAGGGGAGAGUGAACUUUUCUGUGAAGAAAACCAAUUGUGACAGUAGGGGUAAAGGAAAAUCAACUCCAAAUGGAAUCAUGUUUUAUUCAGGAUUUGUGCUGCCGGUGGGGAAGGCCAGACCCAGCGACAGGAUGGGAAAGUGGGACACCCCAACUUCAAGCUUUGUGCGUUCUGCCACGAAGUUCUAUGCGCUUCACUGAGCUCAGCUCCUGGGGACCUCUAAUGGCCCUUGAUAGCAAACAUAGUUAAAAAUUAACAGACUGACAGAAUUAAAUAUGGAUGACAAGCAACCACUGUGGACUUAAUCUGACACAGGGUGUUACACGCUUGGGUGCUUUUAACCCAAGUGGCAUCUCAAGUGAACUUCUGAGAUGUCUGGGCACAUUUCACAUGCCUGUUUGGAAGCAGAGCCUAGCUUGUGCUUAGGACAGACAGGAAAAGAGUCUAAGAGCCCAGGAGAGAAAAUUCUCCCUGGAGGCUUUUGUUUCAUUAAACCCAGCUUUGAUCAGGCUUACCAGGAUGUACUCACAGUCCUACGACCUUGUCCUUGUGGUCUAGACCUUGUCCCUGCCUGGGCUCGGACCUCAGUAGCACCUGCCAUCGUGACUGGAAGAUCCGGCAAGAGCACAAGGCCAGCGGGGAGCAUGGCCUCCUCCAGCUAGGACUUUCUUGCUCACCUCUUUUCCAGCUGUUGGGGCAGGUGAGAUGGCAGCCUUAACCAAGGACCGAGUCAUACAAAUCUUGGCAUUCUGCCUAGAUCAUAGCGACUUAAUUGCCCUAGGCAAGGAGUAUUAGGUGCCAGACAGGUAGUGAAGAAUGCUGAUGGCGUUUUCAUGCCUGAGUCUGCUGAGAAAGAGUAUAGGCUGCCGAUUCUGGGGGGCAGGGAGAAGAGGAGCGGUUCCUUUACAAGAGGGCCUCAUUUCAUGCAGCAGCGAAAUUCCUAAAAAGUGUUCUUCCAGUUUUGGUGAGUGCUUUUUUAGAAAUGGAGGUGAGGGUUACUGUUUAAAAGAAUCUUGCAAUCAGCGCUGUAAGGAAGACAAUCUUUUUGUAUUGCACAUCAUCCUUCCAGCCUAUUCGAUGAGUUUGGAGUUUCUUGGACCAGAUUAUGCUGGGCUUGGCAGCCUCUCUUCAGCCUGGCAGUCUCUGACAGAGCUUGCUGUAAUGGCCUAACGUGCUUUAUUUGGUGAUGCUACCCAAAAGUGGAUCCUGAGGUCUGGAGCGAGUAGGGCAGAGCUGAUGGUAGGUAGUCACUGUGUGAGUGGUUCCCUGCAGUUGCUCAGUGUUGGGAAUGAGCCCCACAGCGAACUUCAGCGCUCCAUUCUAGGGAGAGUCAUGGAAACCUGCCUGAGAAUAUCCAUGCCUUCAAAACAUUAACCCAUUAGUUUGAGAUAACAUUCUUGUCAUUUACAUAAAACAACUUGUUCAAGCUACUGUGGGUUUUGUUUUGUUUUGUCUUUUGUUGAGGAAGUCUCCCUCUGUCACCAGGCUGGCAUGCAGUGGCGCCAUCUCAGCUCACUGCAACCUCCACCUCCCAGGUUCAUGCAAUCCUCCUGCCUCAGCCUCCUGAGUAGCUGGGACUACAGGCGCACACCACCACACACAGCUAAUUUUUUGUAUUUUUAGUAGAGAUGGGGUUUCACCAUAUUAGCCAGGAUGGUCUCUAUCUCUUGACCUCAAUCUACCCGCCUCAGCCUCCCAAAGUGCUGGGAUUACAGGCAUGAGCCACGGCGCCCUGCCCAAGCUACUGUUAUUAACUAUUUUGUUCAAAGAGGGAUAGCUGACUUCUGAAUGUGGUGCAGGGGAAACCUGCAUUCAGGUACAGCAUCUGCACUAGGGAAGGUGAGAGAAAAUCUGUAGCUGCUCCAUGUACAUGAGACAUCAGAGCACUAGCCGGUUUGGUGGUCUGUCUUCCAGCUCGAAGCAUGCAAAUGGCACAGCCCAGCCUCUUAGAUCCACCAAAUGCUACCACUGGAAGGGACCUUCCAGACCAGCGUUUCUCAACACCCACAGGGAUUCACAGCUGUUCCAUAAUCCAGAGAUCCUGCAGUCAGAUAAACUUGGGCAGCACAGGUCUAGAUCAAGUCAAACAGGUUUAUUUUGGAACUUCUUGGAGCCGUUACUGUGCCCACAUGUAUCAAGAAACUGCUGAAGGGACCAAAUUGUGCAUUUCUCUCUAAUGUCCUUGACAUUAGAGCAUUUCUAGACCAGUGUUCUUCCAGCCAUACUUUUCGAAACCUUAAUUAAAAGCAGCAUCUCUCAGACUUGACCAUGUGCCUGGUGAUCACCUGGGGGGCUGGUUACAGUGUCGUUUAUUGGAUGCCUCUUCCAGAGUUUUGGCAUUUCUGACAAGUUCCCAGGUGAUGCCGAUGGUCCAGGAACCUGAGAACCACUGGUCUAGGCUUACCCCUUCAUUCCCCAGAGAAGAAAACAGUCCAACCAGAGAGUAUUUGCUUUCAGUGGUGACUAUUAAUUGAGCCGGUCACCUGCUAAGCACUUCUCGUGACUCUUUCUAAGGGCAAGUAUGAUAGUGGGAUUCAGCCCCUAGAAAGGGGAUAGCGCAAUGCAAAUCAUUACUGUAGAGUUUUACCCUGUGCCAGUCACUCACCACUGCAGAAGGGUUGGUACUUCAGACAGGGCGUCCUCCUGAGACUAGUCAAGGUCUUCCUGUCCUUGGCAUCAGUAUUAGGAACAUAAAUUCUGUCUGUAUUUAAUCCUCUGGCCCUUCAUUUUCUCAUCUAUAAAUGGAAGAGGAUGGAAAUUAUUUUUAUGGGUGGGUACCGCUUUCUCUAGCAUUCCAUUUGAUUUUUACUCUGAGUUGCUUCUUUUUCUGGGUAUCUUGGUGCUCUCCUGUUGUCCAAUCUGUCACCAUGCUGAGUGCUGGAGGCUUACAGUGUUAGCCAUGCAGGGGCACUGCAUUUUCAGAGCAUUCCUGAAGAAGAGGGAUGGUAGAAUCCCAAACAGUGUGGCCCUGGGUAGUGAACUGUAACAUGGUAAUAAUUUACCACUAUUGUUCAGUUCUAGUGGAGAAGAUUUCCAGGGUCGUCCACGUUGCCUUAGAUGUCACAUGCUGUGUGAAGUGCUUAGCGCGGUCUCUGACGCAGACUAAAUGUCAGGGUCAGUUUGGUUAAGUAUAUUGUGUUAAAGCUUCUCACAGGGUCUUGAGAAGCCCCUGGAAUUGUGUGCAAGACUGUGAGUGUGCACAUUUGAGAGAGAGAACUAUGGGAGGAGAGAGAGAGGGUGUGUGUUUGUGUACACAUACGUUUUCUGCACAUGGCAUGAAGAAAUGUGAGGGGCCGCUGCCUUGCAUGGAAGGCCAGCCCUUGUCACAUUAUUCUAAUGAGGAGCCCUAAACUAGCCUGCUGAACUGUUUGGAGAGGACCUUGACGCAGGCAGUCUGGAGGGAACUGUAGGUUUCCCGGUUAAGAAGAAUUGUAAAGCAGCCCUUAUGGGAUGGGCAGGAGUGACCUGGGGCCAAAAGCCCAGCAGAACAAGCAGCCCGAAUGGGGCUAAGAGAGAACCCUCUCCUCAUUACCCCCCCACAGUGAUGAGCGCAGAGCAGCUUGUUCCCCCCAACCGGGCCGGCUGCCCGAACUCUGCUGUGCACCAUGAGCCCUGCCGCUCUGCCCGGCUGUGGUGCGGGAACCUGGAUGAGCCGUUCAGACUUGGCCAGGGGGGCACUGCCCUCUGCUGGAAGCUGGGCGCAGUGGAGCCUCUCAGGCUGGAAGAGGAGGCAGCCGUGGGUGUCUGUGGAUGCGGUGAGAAGAGCCCCCCACUUGGCAAGCACGUAGUGUCCUAGCCUGAGACACAAGAGCAAUGAAUUCAGGGGUCUGUGUCCGCCACCCGCCACCACAUCCACUGUGAGGAGCAGCCACCUAUUGCAUCACUGGCGUCCUCACCCCUCAGCUGAGCACAGCCUCCCCUGGACCCCACAGCUCGGAACCCGCCUUCAUGUCACUCUGGAGUGCGCCUCGACCAGGGUGACGAGAGCCUGAAGACGGGCUGCACGCUCGUCCCCAACCCUGCAGGCACCUGUGCGAGUGAGAACGUGAGGGCUGUGUGCGAGAGCUGGUCAGAGAGGCUGGGGCAGGGCUUCCUUCUCGCAGUCACCUGCACCGAAAGCAGAACCAUGCCAUCCACUGUGCGGCUCUCCUCCCCGGGCAGCCCUCCCCUUCCUGUGUCUCCUGUGAAACACCGUCAUGUCUUGGCCUCGUCGGGGCUCAGCGCCCCAACCCACACCCAGGCCGCACCAGUCACACCACUGCGCUCCACACUGACCCAGUGCACACAGACCCAUCACCCUCUACUGUGUGUUUAGGUGUCCAGCCCCCCACCUGCCAUGGGGGCUCUGUGUCCCCGCCCCGUCCUUUCCCACCUAUCUCAGGAAGGCAGCUCCAACUCUGCUCUUUGCUUAGUGAGCAAGUGGAUUCAGAUGCACCAGGCCGUGAGCCGUGGAUGCGCUGGCUCCCUCCCUCCGAGGCUACUUCUCAGGGCUGGAAGUCCCGUCAGUUCUGCUGAAUACUAUGUCCCAGGUGUGUGAUGGCGGCUGCAAUCUGUCUUGUGGGUAUUAAUGCAAUCUUCAGUGGUGGCUACUGUUCUCUAGCUGUUCUACAAAACUGGAGCAUGCUGGCUUGAAAAACCCUUGCCCAGUUUUGAUCCCUUCAAGACUUUGUCACAGCCUCUAUCACACAUCUGUUUUUCUCGAAGAAAAAAAUAUAAUAAAAAUGUUUUACUCUUUUACACUGUAUAA